AUUUAAGUAUCUUAUGUUUAGAGUAUAACAUUGAAGCUGUUAUUGAGGUUGAUUAACCCUUAAAUA
Molecule: non-coding RNA, 66 nt
Organism: Hermetia illucens (black soldier fly)
Lineage: Eukaryota; Metazoa; Arthropoda; Insecta; Diptera; Stratiomyidae
Source: the annotation of a RefSeq genome assembly